Molecule: ribosomal RNA, 562 nt
Filed under: uncultured bacterium
Lineage: Bacteria
Description: partial 16S ribosomal RNA
Rfam family: Bacterial small subunit ribosomal RNA
Source: RNAcentral
UGGGGAAUAUUGCACAAUGGGCGAAAGCCUGAUGCAGCAACGCCGCGUGAGUGAUGAAGGCCUUCGGGUUGUAAAGCUCUGUCUUUUGGGACGAUAAUGACGGUACCAAAGGAGGAAGCCACGGCUAACUACGUGCCAGCAGCCGCGGUAAUACGUAGGUGGCAAGCGUUGUCCGGAUUUACUGGGCGUAAAGGAUGCGUAGGCGGACUUUUAAGUGAGAUGUGAAAUACCCGGGCUUAACUUGGGUGCUGCAUUUCAAACUGGGAAUCUAGAGUGCGGGAGAGGAGAAUGGAAUUCCUAGUGUAGCGGUGAAAUGCGUAGAGAUUAGGAAGAACACCAGUGGCGAAGGCGAUUCUCUGGACCGUAACUGACGCUGAGGCAUGAAAGCGUGGGUAGCAAACAGGAUUAGAUACCCUGGUAGUCCACGCCGUAAACGAUGAGUACUAGGUGUAGGAGGUAUCGACCCCUUCUGUGCCGCAGUUAACACAAUAAGUACUCCGCCUGGGAAGUACGAUCGCAAGAUUAAAACUCAAAGGAAUUGACGGGGUCAAUAGCUGUUUCC